GUCCCUGUAGUGCAAUGGAUAGCACGUUCGACUUCUAAUUCAAAGGGUCGUGAGUUCGAAUCUUACCUGGGAUG
This is a non-coding RNA of Trichonephila clavata, 74 nucleotides long. NCBI's taxonomy places the organism in Eukaryota, Metazoa, Arthropoda, Arachnida, Araneae, Nephilidae. The record is from the annotation of a GenBank genome assembly.